UACGGAGGGUGCAAGCGUUAUCCGGAUUUAUUGGGUUUAAAGGGUCCGUAGGCGGAUCUGUAAGUCAGUGGUGAAAUCUCACAGCUUAACUGUGAAACUGCCAUUGAUACUGCAGGUCUUGAGUGUUAUUGGAGUAGCUGGAAUAAGUAGUGUAGCGGUGAAAUGCAUAGAUAUUACUUAGAACACCAAUUGCGAAGGCAGGUUACUAAGCAACAACUGACGCUGAUGGACGAAAGCGUGGGGAGCGAACAGG
RNAcentral lists this ribosomal RNA (253 nucleotides) under uncultured bacterium. Its description in RNAcentral is "partial 16S ribosomal RNA". It matches the Rfam family "Bacterial small subunit ribosomal RNA", at positions 524 to 776 of the family's 1533-position model. The record is from RNAcentral.